GGCGUGGCAUAGUGGUUUGAGCGUUCGACUAUGACUCUGGAGAGCAGGGUUCGAAUCCCCGCUUGGCCA
Molecule: non-coding RNA, 69 nt
Organism: Phrynosoma platyrhinos (Desert horned lizard)
Lineage: Eukaryota; Metazoa; Chordata; Lepidosauria; Squamata; Phrynosomatidae
Source: the annotation of a GenBank genome assembly